Molecule: ribosomal RNA, 800 nt
Filed under: Bacillus amyloliquefaciens
Lineage: Bacteria; Bacillati; Bacillota; Bacilli; Caryophanales; Bacillaceae
Description: bacterial SSU rRNA
Rfam family: Bacterial small subunit ribosomal RNA
Source: RNAcentral
AAGUGGGGCGUGCCUAUACAUGCAAGUCGAGCGGACAGAUGGGAGCUUGCUCCCUGAUGUUAGCGGCGGACGGGUGAGUAACACGUGGGUAACCUGCCUGUAAGACUGGGAUAACUCCGGGAAACCGGGGCUAAUACCGGAUGGUUGUCUGAACCGCAUGGUUCAGACAUAAAAGGUGGCUUCGGCUACCACUUACAGAUGGACCCGCGGCGCAUUAGCUAGUUGGUGAGGUAACGGCUCACCAAGGCGACGAUGCGUAGCCGACCUGAGAGGGUGAUCGGCCACACUGGGACUGAGACACGGCCCAGACUCCUACGGGAGGCAGCAGUAGGGAAUCUUCCGCAAUGGACGAAAGUCUGACGGAGCAACGCCGCGUGAGUGAUGAAGGUUUUCGGAUCGUAAAGCUCUGUUGUUAGGGAAGAACAAGUGCCGUUCAAAUAGGGCGGCACCUUGACGGUACCUAACCAGAAAGCCACGGCUAACUACGUGCCAGCAGCCGCGGUAAUACGUAGGUGGCAAGCGUUGUCCGGAAUUAUUGGGCGUAAAGGGCUCGCAGGCGGUUUCUUAAGUCUGAUGUGAAAGCCCCCGGCUCAACCGGGGAGGGUCAUUGGAAACUGGGGAACUUGAGUGCAGAAGAGGAGAGUGGAAUUCCACGUGUAGCGGUGAAAUGCGUAGAGAUGUGGAGGAACACCAGUGGCGAAGGCGACUCUCUGGUCUGUAACUGACGCUGAGGAGCGAAAGCGUGGGGAGCGAACAGGAUUAGAUACCCUGGUAGUCCACGCCGUAAACGAUGAGUGCUA